AGCCAUGAGGUAGGCAUGAGGCCGUUUGA
RNAcentral lists this non-coding RNA (29 nucleotides) under Homo sapiens (human). Lineage: Eukaryota; Metazoa; Chordata; Mammalia; Primates; Hominidae. The record is from RNAcentral.